GGUUCAGUGGUCUAGUGGUUAUGAUUUGUGUCUCACAUUGUUUAUGCUGAGUGGGGUUCACACAAGGUCCCCGGUUCGAUCCCGGGCUGAACCA
Non-coding RNA from Marasmius oreades (fairy-ring Marasmius), 94 nucleotides. NCBI's taxonomy places the organism in Eukaryota, Fungi, Basidiomycota, Agaricomycetes, Agaricales, Marasmiaceae. The record is from the annotation of a RefSeq genome assembly.